UACAGGGGGUGCAAACGUUGCUCGGAAUUAUUGGGCGUAAAGCGCGCGUAGGCGGCUACUUAAGUCGGAUGUGAAAGCCCCUGGCUCAACUGGGGAAGUGCACCCGAAACUGAGUGGCUUGAGUACUAAAGAGGGUCGCGGAAUUCCCGGUGUAGAGGUGAAAUUCGUAGAUAUCGGGAGGAACACCUGCGGCGAAGGCGGGUUGCUGGGCUGAUACUGACGCUGAGGCGCGAAAGCCAGGGGAGCGGACGGG
This 253-nucleotide ribosomal RNA is filed under the name uncultured bacterium. Its description in RNAcentral is "partial 16S ribosomal RNA". It matches the Rfam family "Bacterial small subunit ribosomal RNA", at positions 524 to 776 of the family's 1533-position model. The record is from RNAcentral.